Molecule: long non-coding RNA, 1061 nt
Organism: Lathyrus oleraceus (garden pea)
Lineage: Eukaryota; Viridiplantae; Streptophyta; Magnoliopsida; Fabales; Fabaceae
Exons: 3
Source: RefSeq, a predicted model, not a curated record
CAAGCCAUCCAGUAGGAAACAUUGCUUCAUGGUGAUGUUAAAACAACGGCAAAUCCCACGAAACAUGUUUCUCCGGCACAAAACCAAAAUCACAAAGCCUUUCAAACAGAAAUCCAAACAUAUCUUAAAGUGACACAAUCAUCAAGUGUAAAGAAACUCAUCAAGCAUAUUCAAAAACAAACAAUAAUAAAAACACGUAACCAAACCAUUACCUAUGCCGAAGAGAUCGGAUUUGGGUGACUACAGUGGAGACUUAGGUGAGGAUGUCCUCACCCCAAUAGACAAGGUUUGAUGCUAGAAAAAUGAAGAAUGGAUUGAGCUCGAAGGUUGUUGUUGUCGCCGGAAGAAUGUCGAGUCGCGGUGCGGUUCUGGUUGUAGCCUUUCUGGUUGCAACAAGGGUGGCGGCAGAGAGUUUAAGGGACUUGUGGUUUUUGUACAGAUGAAGCGUGGAGUAUGGAGGGUUAUGUUUCUGUGUGAACAGUGUUGCAGAGAGAGAUUUCGAAAAUGUCUUUUAUCCUCUCCUUUGUUCUCUCUUUGAAUGGUAGCCGCUCACCUCCUCUAGAAAUUAGGUUUUUUUCACCUCUCUUCUCCUUUUCUGAAUGGUAGCCGCUCACCUUCUCUAGGGUUUUUUGUGAACAGUGAUCCUCCUUUUAUAUGCCAUUCAUCUCUUUCCUCUGCUGUGUUUUUGUUUCCUUAGAGUAGUGGAGGUCUGCUGUGCAGUGGAGAGGUUUUUUGUACAGAGGAUGUCUGGGGAGUUUUGUCCUUAUUCCACUUGUGGUCCCUCUUCCUCAAUUCUCUCCAUUUCCAAGACUUCACUAUUGCUUCGGCGUGGAUUGAGGUUGGUCUUCUCGAGCCUCACUGUAAGGUCGACGACUGAGACAUCCACAGUUGAGACAAUGAAUGACAUACCGAUCAAUUUUCCAUUCAAGGAAGGAAACACUUUACCGGCAACCUUAGCAGCUCAAACACUUAGCAGCAAUUUAAACCGAUGGCUUGGAGUGCUUUUGUGCUAUUCCGGGAUCCAUAUUGUGUUGUUUGUUUUGUACUUAAAGAGGUGGAGA